GAAAAAAUGAACUACAUGAGGUGCAAGCUAGAGGAAAAAUGAAUGUUAUCUACCUUAUUUUGGAAGAUGCAACUUUAAAGGGAUCCACAUCAAGACUUCUCCUUUUCACUGGCACGCUGGAGCUGCCUGACUUGCCCCUGCAGAAGGGCUCUGUGAAGCUCCUCACGCAGAGAUGGGAGUGUGCCAGUGCUCCAAGAUCCAGCUUGACACUCCGACGCCUACCAGCCCUGAGGUCUCCAGUACCAGAUAAAACAAGACAGAGCAGCACUGUAGAGAAAGUCCUGGCAGACAGCGAGAAGGUGGAGGUGUUCAAGGAGGAGCCCCUGGGUGGCCCUCGCCAGAUUGAGCGCUCCACCAUCGCUGUAAAGGAGCUGCAGAGCCGC
Molecule: long non-coding RNA, 383 nt
Organism: Gallus gallus (chicken)
Lineage: Eukaryota; Metazoa; Chordata; Aves; Galliformes; Phasianidae
Source: Ensembl